AAGAACAGAAACUCAAUGUUGGAGGAUCUCUUUUUUGGGGGUUAUCUUCCCUGCCCCUGAACCUUAACUAAUUGAAAAAAAAUGCAAGACUGGCAAAACCAGUUUUUGAAAGUAAUACUCUGACUGUAUAAGAACAGUAGUCCACCUUGAGCAAGAGGCAUGAAAACUAGAACCUCACCCACUGUUCCAGCUAGUUUUUUACCCGUUAAAGACAACCACUGCCUCCUCUUGCUAAUCCUGACUCAUGCCUAAGGACUAGGUGGUGGAUGCCUGCCUUCUGUUCUCUCCCAGCCCAUCCAGAUAAUCCUUUAUUAUGGCCUUUAGCAUACUGAUGACAAUUGCCUCUGUUACUUUCAAGAGAACAGAAGUUCCUUGAAGGCAUAAGUUCCGUGUGUUGAAGGGGAGGAGACACAUAUAUUUCCCAAAUGAAUGAAUGAAUGAAUGAACUGAGUUAUGUAGACCUAAAGUGGUGGUACCUUCUUAUUAAGCUUGCCUGUUUGAAUUUAGCUAUGCUUCUUAACCUGGCCAGACGUCAGGAUUGAACUGGGUCAAAAGAAUGUGUAUAUUGAGAUUUAGGGUAACUGGAAAGCUGCUAGUUAUCAUCAAUUGCUAAGGAAAACUCUCCAGAUUUUACUUCCAUGAUUCAAUUGUUACUUCAUGAUUCAGAUGAUGUUUAAAAAAAAAAAAAAGUUAACUAUUAUUGAUCAGUUCUUGGAAAAUUACUGCUGGACAUUCAACCUAGUACAAACAUUCUCAUCUUAGGGUUCUCUCUGUCCACCUUGCCCACCUUCUUCCCUCUGAGUUGUUUCGGCAGCCUUAAAUAUCAUGGAUGUUUUAAAAUUCCUGCACAGGCUCAGUAGUAUUGACUUGAUGAGUGCUGGUUCCUCUGGAUGAAUGAGUGCUAUCAUUUUCUAGGCUGGCUGUUACUUUGAAGAUCCACGUCUUUAAAAUAUGAGUCAGUACCCUUGGGCAUGAGGUCUUGACAGGUCUAAUUUCUUAGCCUUUGCUAGGAAAAAGGCUUCUGUCUCUUUUGCUUUCUCAGUUAUAGUAUAUGGCUCUUUGGAGUUCAAGUGACCAGCUAAAACAUGGCACAUGUUUGAAUGAGAGGAAAAGAGACAAAGGUCAUAGUCAUUGUAAUAAGUCAUGAUAGAAAUGAGACCAGGUGUCAUCAGAGGUUAGAUGAGCAGCAAAGCUCUCUCAGUCGUAUUUGGUGCCCUCUGUUCCUCCUUUUCAUCAUUUAAUUUAUCAUUCAUGUGUGUGUAUAUAUAUAUAUGACUGAGUCACUUUGCUGUAUAGCAGAAAUAGGCACAACAUUGUAAAUCAACUAUUAUUUUAUUUUUUGUUUUUUUUUAGGGCCGCACCUGUGGCAUAAGUAGGUUCCCAGGCUAGGGGUCAAAUAGGAGCUGCAGCUGCCGGCCUAUACCACAGCCACAGCAACUCAGGAUCUGAGCUGUGUCUGUGACCUACACCACAGCUCACAGCAACGCUGGAUCUUAGCCAACUGAGCAAGGCCAGGGAUUGAACCUGCAUCCUCAUGGAUGCUUGUCAGAUUCAUUUCCCCUGAGGCAUGAUGGGGGACUCCUGCUAAGAUUCUUUAAUAUGCUAAUAUUUAUGGUGAAUCUCAAAGGGAGGGGAUUAAUGUGGAUUAUCCCCAAAUUUAAUUAGGAUUGUCUCCCUUCCCAUUCCACCUCCACCCCACCCCCACCCCUACCCCCUGCCAAGCAUUUUAGUAGAUUAGCUUGUGAGGAACAAACUUGGGAAUAUUACGACACCAACAAAACCUCCUUAUAAGAAAUGUUUUGCAGCCAGAUGCUUAGCAUUAAAGGACUAGGGAUUUUUAAUCUUGGAAUUAUUGGUGAUGAAUAGUUUGACUAACCUGCCAUAGUUUUCAAGGGGUGAGAAACUCUGAACCAUUGUGAGGUCAUAGCUUCAGCCUUACUGUGGAUGACAGUCCUACUGUGGAUGAUGGCUUUGGUGAGCAGACAGUUACUCAAAUGGUGGGAUAACCUCAGUCACUAAGACCCUGGCAAAGAAGUAAGAGCGAGGGUCAACACAGAAACAUUGUAAACCUUGUGGCUUUGAUCAGAAAUGUAACACUUUGCAAUCUAGAAAGACUGCUAUGAUUCCCAUUUAAUAAAUAAGGUAACUAGAGCUUUCAGAAAGGUUAAGUGAAGUAUCCAAAGUCACAUGGCUAAAAACUAAGUCGAGGGCCAUGGGCUUUAUCCCCCUUCUAGUCCAGUGCUCUUUGCUCUGCUCUGCAUUGCUGUGUGAUGCAGGAGCGAGGGGAUUGUCGUUAAUUAGAGAGGGAAUCUGGGGGUUUGUAUUAUGGCUCUUACCUUGGUGUAUCUUUGGAUAGAAAUAAAAGUCUGUUGGUUUCCCAUUUCUGUCAUGUUCUUACUCUUUUUUCCUUAACCACAUUAUGGUAGCCAUGGCAGUGAAUGAGAUUUUCAUCCCAACAUGUCUUAUGUCGUGACCUCUUCUCUCUACUCAUUUAUAUCUUUGUGAGAAAUCCAAUUUGUGGACCACAUGUUUUUUGUCAGGGAGGGUCUUGAGUUAAAAUUUCUUUCUUCUUCUUGAACUAAAGGAGCAGGGGCAAUAGGGGUGUUUACUUAAGCCUUAGGUAUUUUAAAUAGAGAAAGCUUAAUGAUCUAAAUAGAGAACUAGGAACAAGUUUUCUUGCCAUAUCUGGGAAGAAAACCCAUUGGAGACCUUUAGAAAGAAAGUAGAAUGAAUGAUGAAAAGCUGGCCUCAGAGUUUUUCUUGCCUUAGAGUUUCUGUACAAUAAAUAUUUGUACUAUGUCACUAACACAGUUCAACUGUAUGUCACUUAGUCUUUCUCUAAUUUUUUUGUAGUUUUCAAUAUGUCCAAUUCUCUGAAGAUGAUUUUAAGAGAUUGGGACAAAUGACAAAUGGCUUUCUGAACCUUGAAAGUAAAAUAAAAAGAAAACAAGGACUUAGUCACAUGGAAAUUCUGAUUCUUGGAAGUGGAGUACGAUGCAGUGGUUCUUAGGCCACGUUCUCCCAUGAGACACAGGAUGGAUAAUGCUUCAUGAUGCCUGUUGGCCUACCUAACACUGAUUGCCGUGUCACUUCCCUCUGUUUUAUUCAAGAGGAUCUAUUCUACUAAAAAGUAAUUGUUUGCAAAUUUAGCAAUUUAUCACUCGUUAUUUUAUUUUUUUAAAGUGUGUAUGUAAAAUUACUCUUCAUCAAUCAGGAAACCCAAAUGCUGUAUGAAGACAGGACAAUAUUACUGAUUGAGAAUCAACAUGUCUUAAAGGCUGUUUCAGUAUUUCCAUGUCAAUGGAAUAAACCACACACAAUAACAUUUUAAUGUAAAAUUCACGCACAAUUUGGAGUUUUCUCUACAACCAAAAUGUUGAUUUAACAUUUCUGUAUUAUGGGGGCAAAUCCUGCCAACAAUGAAUGUUUUGCUUCUCUGUUAUAGUCAAGAUUCUGAGUUCUUUUUUUUUUUUUAAGAGUAUAGUUGAUUUACAGUUUUGUGUCAGUAGUUACAACAGAAAUUGACACUAAUGUUACUUUAAAUCAAUACAUUAACAAUAAUGUUUAAAAAUAAUUCAGUGCUAAAGAUUCCUCUCUAAUUGCACUGAAUGAUUCUAUAUGUUUGUAAACUUUUUAGCUAUGUACAGAGAUAAGUAAAAGCUUCCCUUCCCCCCUACUCUCUCCUCCCAAUUCUGUUCCCUUCCCAAAGCAAUCACUAUUUAUGGUUUUCUUUCUUCAACAGGAGAACAUUUAGGGGUUGUUGUUGUUGUUGCUGUUUUUACCUUUACAAACAAUGCUGCAUUUUGUGCACAUGGCCAGUAUUUCCCAGUCUGAAGAGAGUGCCUGUUUUAAACUUUGACAAAUGCUGCCAAUACUGCCAAAGGACUAGAGCAACAUACCCAGGCAUCAAAGUCUAAGAGAUGACCCCUUGCCCCCUGCUUUGCCAAUACUGAGUGUUAUCACUCUGUAUUUUUCUAAUUUGGUGGUAGAAUGAUGGCAGGGUUGUUUCAAUUUGCAUUUGCUUGGCCACUAGCGAGAAAAAUAAAAUCUUAAUAAUCUUUUUGGCCAUUUUUCUUUUCGUAGGAAUUCACUUUUUGGAACUCGGCUGGUUACUUACCUGUUGUGUCUCAACUCCAAAUCCAUUCUUUGCAUUCUGCUCUGUUCUCCUGGAACUGGAAUUGUGAAAACUGGAUUCCUCUGUAAUCUUUGCUUCCUUGGGUCUAUGAUUAGGAGGAAGUCUAUACUACAGGGAGAUUGGAAAGUGGGAGAAAGGGAGAAGGGACCUCAUGUUGCUAUUAGCCUUUAUCGUCCAGCAGUAGUUGGCUCCAGCGACUGGCUUCCUGCAGCCUCCCCAGAGCAAGACACAUCACUCUUCCCCUGACAUUUGCACCACCACCUCAGGUUCUGGUCGUCCUACCUCUUGAUUUUCUUGUGCCUCCAGGACUAGCAGUGAUAUUGACUUCCUAUUUUAUCUAGGUUCCCUCAGUGUCUCCUCUUUCUUCCUUCAGCAGUCCAACGCUUGGGUAACCAAUUUGCUGUAUGAAGUCUGCUGUUUGAAACAUCUAAUGUGUUUCUUUCUGGUCUCCUCACUGACCUUUGACUACUGGCUGAUUUUUUAGUUAGGAUUUCUGUAUUACUCAUACUAGUUUGCAAGAGCUUUUUCUGAUUUAAUACUUUGUUUUAAAUUUUGUAACUACAUUCUCCCAGUCAUC
Molecule: long non-coding RNA, 4712 nt
Filed under: Sus scrofa (pig)
Lineage: Eukaryota; Metazoa; Chordata; Mammalia; Artiodactyla; Suidae
Description: lncRNA (ENSSSCG00060054499.1)
Source: RNAcentral